Molecule: unclassified non-coding RNA, 423 nt
Filed under: Hevea brasiliensis (rubber tree)
Lineage: Eukaryota; Viridiplantae; Streptophyta; Magnoliopsida; Malpighiales; Euphorbiaceae
Source: RNAcentral
UUUUAUAGGAAGCGCUAGGUUUUAGUUCUCUGGAUAUACUUUAGACAGCAUUCCAAGUUAUAUUGAAAAAAGCUACAAUUUGCUGUAUUUCUCAUCUAAGGAAACACGCUUAAAUUGAAUGGGUCAAGAUUGCAUGCUUUAGUUAUAGCUCACUCCUUUACCUCUUACAACUUCACCAAUGCGAAAUGCUUUAUAAUGUCCAUCCUCAAGCAAUCUGUGGGAUGCUUCCCCAGUUACAAUUAGAACCAUGCCAAUGCCCAUGUUAAAAGUCCGCCUCAUCUCGGCAUCUUCUAUUCUUCCAGCCUCUUGGAUCCAUUUGAAUACAGUUGGGACAUCCCAGGAGCUAUUGUAAAUAACAGCUCCAAGGCCUUUUGGAAAAACUCGAGGUAUAUUGUCUGUAAAACCACCUCCAGUGAUGUGGGC